ACGCGAAGAACCUUACCAAGGCUUGACAUAUACAGGAAUAUGGCAGAGAUGUCAUAGCCGCAAGGUCUGUAUACAGGUGGUGCAUGGUUGUCGUCAGCUCGUGUCGUGAGAUGUUGGGUUAAGUCCCGCAACGAGCGCAACCCUCGUUCUGUGUUGCCAGCAUUUAGUUGGGGACUCACAGGAGACUGCCGGGGUUAACUCGGAGGAAGGUGGGGAUGACGUCAAAUCAUCAUGCCCCUUAUGUCUUGGGCUGCACGCAUGCUACAAUGGCUGGUACAAACGGCUGCGAUACCGCAAGGUGGAGCGAAUCCGAUAAAGCCAGUCUCAGUUCGGAUUGGGGUCUGCAACUCGACCCCAUGAAGUCGGAGUUGCUAGUAAUCGUAGAUCAGCAACGCUACGGUGAAUACGUUCCCGGGCUUGUACACACCGCCCGUCACGUCACGAAAGUC
Molecule: ribosomal RNA, 449 nt
Filed under: uncultured Actinomycetes bacterium
Lineage: Bacteria; Bacillati; Actinomycetota; Actinomycetes
Description: bacterial SSU rRNA
Rfam family: Bacterial small subunit ribosomal RNA
Source: RNAcentral